CCUACGGAGAGCUGCAGUGGGGAAUAUUGGACAAUGGGCGAAAGCCUGAUCCAGCCAUGCCGCGUGUGUGAAGAAGGCCUUCGGGUUGUAAAGCACUUUCAGUGGGGAAGAAAGCCUUGGGGCUAAUACCCUCGAGGAAGGACAUCACCCACAGAAGAAGCACCGGCUAACUCCGUGCCAGCAGCCGCGGUAAUACGGAGGGUGCGAGCGUUAAUCGGAAUUACUGGGCGUAAAGCGCGCGUAGGCGGUCUGAUAAGCCGGUUGUGAAAGCCCCGGGCUCAACCUGGGAACGGCAUCCGGAACUGUCAGGCUAGAGUGCAGGAGAGGAAGGUAGAAUUCCCGGUGUAGCGGUGAAAUGCGUAGAGAUCGGGAGGAAUACCAGUGGCGAAGGCGGCCUUCUGGACUGACACUGACGCUGAGGUGCGAAAGCGUGGGUAGCAAACAGGAUUAGAUCCCCGGUAGUC
Molecule: ribosomal RNA, 464 nt
Filed under: Vreelandella stevensii
Lineage: Bacteria; Pseudomonadati; Pseudomonadota; Gammaproteobacteria; Oceanospirillales; Halomonadaceae
Description: partial 16S ribosomal RNA
Rfam family: Bacterial small subunit ribosomal RNA
Source: RNAcentral